Long non-coding RNA from Aegilops tauschii subsp. strangulata, 3659 nucleotides. RefSeq lists it as uncharacterized. The record is from RefSeq and is a predicted model, not a curated record. NCBI's taxonomy places the organism in Eukaryota, Viridiplantae, Streptophyta, Magnoliopsida, Poales, Poaceae.
UCCCCUACACCUCCCUAGCCCCUCAGAGCCUCGCCGGAGUGCCUCCCCAACCUCCUCUGAUGCCACGGUCGCCGGCAAGCUUCACUUCGAUUCCAACGAUCCCGAGCCUCAUUCACUCUUCCUCCACCACCAGUACGCCGUCCCAGUGCUCCAACCCCUCCUCCGGCGCACCGGAGCGCCAUGCCCAUCUCCUCCCGAAUACCCCUCCGCCGCGGGCCCAACUGCGGCCAUUCCCGAGCUCCCCGGCGUCUUCCACGGCCGGGAACGGAUCCUCCUUGUCCUCCUGAGCAUUUUAAUAGGUCGCCCGUCCCGAACGGUGGCCGGACUCGCCGGCAGUCGCCGUCGGGAUGGCCACCUCCCUCGGCCCAGCGCGCUCCCGAGCGGGAGGUUGAAGACGGUCAGGGCAAGGCGGGCCCCUCCCCGCGCGACCCCACCUGUCAGCGCCUCAAGGCCGGCCCCGCUCCCGCCACGUCAGUUAAGUGGAAGCGUACUCCACUGGAGUACGUCUUCCCUGGCGCGGAAGCGUUUUUGUAGGAAAUACGCUUUCUGUUUAAACCCUGCCGGCCGAAACCUCUAGUUUGUGAAUGUUCGUCCGUUAAGAGCAGAAAUGAAUACUUUUUUAUUUCUUUUUCUGCCUAACGAACAAAUGGUCAUAACUCUGUGACCGUGACUCUGAUUGAGGUGAUUCCAACUCCCACGUCUUCGCCUCGUCGAGCCCGUUCACAUCAUCUCUACUCCUAAUGUUUGAGUUGGUUGAAUAGUACCACGGUUUAUUUUCGUCCGGUUUAUUUUCGCCUCACCUCCCACCACCCUCCCACGUUAAUGUUUUAUUCUUUGCACUUAAAACCAAAUCGCGUCUAAUACUCCUUCCAUUUAUUCAUGCUUGCUUUGGCAAGUGUCGAUUCAAUUCAACCAUGUAAAUAUUUGGUAAUUAAGAAUUCAUAAAUAAUAACAUACACAUGAGAUCACCUUCCAAACAGAUCACAUCGCCCUCCGAUUCAUUUCUCCCACCGAUCCCCUUCAAUACUUAGCUUCGCUAGAAAAAAAACACAACUAUCGAAGCCAUGCCCUCACAUGAUCACGUAUCACAAUGAGAAAACUCCUUAUAUUGUUUCCCUAUUUAAAUAUACUAGCAAACAUGCCCGUGCGUUGCAACGGGAGAAAACAACCCUCUCACAUGCCCUUACCCAUUGAGCAUGGCUAAAGAAUUCACCCUUAUGCCCAUAACAUAAUAAACAUGACUAAUACCUAAUCCUCACGUCCACAUCCUCCAUUUCAGUAUAACACCAGACACAUGUUUCCGCUUGUCGUCUUUUCCGUCCUCAUCACUGGUGGUCGCAUUAUCAGUUGUCACUAACCAGGGUUGACCAGGUGCAAUGGAUUGUUGAGCCGCCUUCAUGUCCGGCGAAGAGAAAGAGCGUUGAACAAAGUUUUUUAUUUAUCAUCUGGCUAAUAUAAUAGGGAAAAGCACUGCACAAAAUGUAUGUCCAUGUCAUUAUGUAAAUUGAAUAGUUUGUGUCAGAUUGAUCAUGAAAUCUUAGUUGGACUCCUCAUGCAUUUUGACAGGAAUCACUGGGCCGAGUGAGACUCGUCGUACGUGUGAAGACGCGAUAGAGAAAAAGAUUCCUUCCAUAUCCAUAGUUUGAACUAAAACAAUGCAUCAGGUGGGCAUAUUUCAAAAAUUCACCAAGUUUUAUUAAUAGGUAUAGACUAAAGCAAUUUAGCUAUAAUACCUCCCAGUUUAGAAAAACAUGUUUAAGAAAAUAUUUUCCUUUUCAAAUUUAAAGUUCAAAAAAUAUUCGUGUUUUAAAAAUGUUUGCAAAUUAAAAAAUAAUCAAAACAGUACCUCCUAGUUUUAAAAAAUUGUUUUUGUUUUAAAAUAUACUCAAGUUUAAAGAAAAUAAAAGGCGAAAUAUUGUUAUUUAAAAAAAUGUUUGAGUUAAAAAUUAUUUAUUAACAACUUUGAAAAAAAAUCGGGUUCUAUAAUAUAUUCACUUUUUCAGAAAAAAAAUUCCUCUCAGUAUCUGGCGAGACUAUGAACUAAUUUAAAAUUUCGCGCUGCAAUUUAAACAGCCAGUCAUGUUUAUUCUAGUGGCUAGCAAUCUGAGCUCUCUAGCAUGAGCGGCUUGGUUCGAUUCCUCUCGUGGCGCAGCAUUUUUUCUUAGAUUUUUUUACUGGCGCGGGCUGUUAUGCUAAUGGGCCGGCCCAUUGCGGCUCUGUGCCUCCUGUGUUAUGUUUUUUUGACUGAAACGAAUUGGGAGAAGGCAAAAACGCCCGCACCAGAGAACAUCUGCGACGUAUCUAGGUCCCACCGUAAACGAAAAUAACUGGAGAAACAAUCCUUCCUUUAAUAUCGCACCAGAGAACAUCUGCGACGUACAAAAGUUAUUUAGGUCCCACCGUAAACGAAAAUAAGUGAAGAAACAAUCCUUCCUUUAAUAUUUGGUUAAGAUAAAGAUAAAGAUUUAGGAGCAGUCGGUACGUCUUUCGUUCGUACCCAGCCUCCCAUCGAUCGCGAAGGCAUCCCCGCUACUUUUUUCCGCUUCUUCGACGUUCGUCGAUUCGUCCCCACCCGCACAGCCAUACGUGGACCAAGCCCUGCAAAAGAACGAGAUCCAACCCACGUCUCUCUAUCAACAAAAGCACGACACGCUAGGGUUAGCAGCCGCCAGCCACGCCCGCCCCUCGAUCGGCUCCUCCCGAGGCGCCAUCGUGCUCUCGCGCACGGCGCUGGCCGCUGUCCUCAAUGCCCCCUCGCACUUCGCAUCUGCUGCCUCAUCCUCCGACCUCCGUCGUCGUGCAGCACAUCGUUGCCAUGGACUCGAACUUCUGAUGCUACGGGGAAGCCGGAUCGGAUCCCACCCCGAGGGCUCGACCUGAGGCUGCGGUGGGUUGUAGAACUCCCCGGCGACAAGCUCAACGGCCUUGUACUUCGCCCGCACAAGCACCAUUGGGUCGACGUCGCUGCCAGUGGCUGCGGCCAUGCAUUUCGAAAUUCCAUGGCAUGAUGCAUAUAAAUUGGAUCAGUAUGUGGGUUCAGAAGAUGAUUUUUUUUCUAUGCUUCCCCUAUGGUGGGUUCGGUUUUGCAUUACUCAAUUUUGCUAAUGUGUCGUUUCUGCAAUGUACCUUCAAUUUUUUUAGUAUACUAAUUUCAAAUGAUUAUAUAAUUUUCUAUGGAUCAGAUUCAUGAAGCUCCAAGCGAGCAAGAAGUUUCAGUCCACCUUUACUCAUGGCCUCCCCUUCUCGUCUGGUGGACGGCCUUGGCAAUCUGAACAAGCUUUACGCGACUGGCGCUCUUGUUGAUUCCUUAUGAGUCAUUUAAGCUGUUUUUGCACAAGGUUGAGAUAGUUGGGGCAUGUAACUGUGUUUUGAUCCCACGAAUGUCAUUUUGCACUGAAGGCUUGUAACCAUUGGGAAAUGUUUGCUUGCUCUGAUGUAUCAAGUUGCCAUGGGGGUGAUCUAGAGGUCUCUUCCUUGUCCGAAGUGUCGUACCGAAUCAAGACAUGUUCAUUUAAUUUACCUGUCAUGUAAAUGACACAACAUGAUUCACUUGUGUAUAGUGUAAAAAUAUAUUUAUUUAUGGCACACAGGUGUUCAAAUUAUAGUUGUAAAACGUGUAUAGUGUAAAAAUAUAAUUAUUAAGGGAAGUGACAUCACAA